Molecule: ribosomal RNA, 453 nt
Filed under: uncultured Methanosaeta sp.
Lineage: Archaea; Methanobacteriati; Methanobacteriota; Methanomicrobia; Methanotrichales; Methanotrichaceae
Description: bacterial SSU rRNA
Rfam family: Archaeal small subunit ribosomal RNA
Source: RNAcentral
CGGGUGGAGCUUGCGGUUUAAUUGGAUUCAACGCCGGAAUCUUACCGGGACCGACAGCAAUAUGAAGGCCAGGCUGAAGACUUUGCCGGAUUAGCUGAGAGGUGGUGCAUGGCCGUCGUCAGUUCGUACUGUGAAGCAUCCUGUUAAGUCAGGCAACGAGCGAGACCCACGCCCACAGUUGCCAGCGUACUCUCUGGAGUGACGGGUACACUGUGGGGACCGCCGCUGCUAAAGCGGAGGAAGGAAUGGGCAACGGUAGGUCAGUAUGCCCCGAAUAUCCCGGGCUACACGCGAGCUACAAUGGUUGGUACAAUGGGUAUCUACCCCGAAAGGGGACGGGAAUCUCCUAAAACCAAUCUUAGUUCGGAUUGAGGGCUGCAACUCGCCCUCAUGAAGCUGGAAUCCGUAGUAAUCGCGUUUCAACAGAACGCGGUGAAUACGUCCCUGCUCCUU